UGGCACACAUUUACAAUAAAUAACUAUGUGUAUUGCUUUGUGUAUGAAGUUUGAGUGUCAAUUAAAGAGCUGUAACGCCCGAUCACAGCAGGCAACAUGUCAAACAUAUUCCUCUGUCAAAUAAAUAAACCACACAUUGAAUAUGACCAGCUCAGGUCAACCUGGCUGCUCAAAGAAGCCCUCCCCAGUUCAUGUCAUCGUGGAGCGAACGUGUAGGAGUAUUACGCAAAUAAUCAACAAGUAUAAACAAAAAAUAUAUUUCGAAACGCGCCAGGAGCUGGCCAAAUCAAAAUGCCGAGACUGUGGCCAUUUGAUUGGACGCUGCAACUUUGACCUAAUGACGAAGGGACGACGUUUUCAUUUUAUGAGAUGCGAAGAAAUAGGCGCUGGCGUUUUUGUUGUAACAAUGUCGAUCUUGCUUGGAAUGGGCCUUUUCUUCAUACGACGAUACAAUCACACUUUUAUCUAUGGAUCUGGCGGUUGUAAGGCGACCAUUUUUUGGACCAACAACGAUUGCCAGAUAUUGGCCUAGGCUACGUUGUUGCCGAGGUAAAUCUUGUCUUACCGAUCUUACAGAUUUGAAGAGCUUGCAUAUUUAGGUUGAUGUGAAGUCGAUAAAUACAUAAUUUAGACUAGGAUAA
Long non-coding RNA from Drosophila montana, 641 nucleotides. RefSeq lists it as uncharacterized. NCBI's taxonomy places the organism in Eukaryota, Metazoa, Arthropoda, Insecta, Diptera, Drosophilidae. The record is from RefSeq and is a predicted model, not a curated record. The transcript is spliced from 3 exons.